Pangasianodon gigas (Mekong giant catfish) is the source of this 73-nucleotide non-coding RNA. NCBI's taxonomy places the organism in Eukaryota, Metazoa, Chordata, Actinopteri, Siluriformes, Pangasiidae. The record is from the annotation of a GenBank genome assembly.
GCAGUGGUAGCUCAGUGGUUAAGAUGUUGGACUAACAAUCGGAAGGUCAUGGGUGCAAAUCCCAACAUCGCCA